AGUUGUUGCAGUUAAAAAGCUCGUAGUUGGAUCUCAGGUCCGGCUCGAGGUCCACCUCGCGGUGGCUACUUCCUGUCCUGACCUACCAUCCGGUUUUCCCUUGGUGCUCUUGAUUGAGUGUCUCGGGUGGCCAGAACGUUUACUUUGAAAAAAUUAGAGUGUUCAAAGCAGGUGCAUCGCCUGAAUAAUGGUGCAUGGAACAAUGGAACAGGACCUCGGUUCUAUUUUGUUGGUUUUCGGAAGUCGAGGUAAUGAUUAAGAGGGACAGACGGGGGCAUUCGUAUUACGGUGUUAGAGGUGAAAUUCUUGGAUCGCCGUAAGACGAACUACUGCGAAAGCAUUUGCCAAGAAUGUUUUCAUUAAUCAAGAACGAAAGUCAGAGGUUCGAAGACGAUCAGAUUCCGUCGUAGUUCUGACCAUAAACGAUGCCAACUAGCGAUCCGCCGGAGUUGUUUCAAUGACUCGGCGGGCAGCUUCCGGGAAACCAAAGUUUGUGGGUUCCGGGGGAAGUAUGGUUGCAAAGCUGAAACUUAAAGGAAUUGACGGA
RNAcentral lists this ribosomal RNA (547 nucleotides) under uncultured metazoan. Its description in RNAcentral is "SSU rRNA". It matches the Rfam family "Eukaryotic small subunit ribosomal RNA", at positions 608 to 1160 of the family's 1831-position model. Lineage: Eukaryota; Metazoa. The record is from RNAcentral.